This is a non-coding RNA of Ceratotherium simum simum (southern white rhinoceros), 126 nucleotides long. Lineage: Eukaryota; Metazoa; Chordata; Mammalia; Perissodactyla; Rhinocerotidae. The record is from RefSeq and is a predicted model, not a curated record.
GGGCCGGCCCCUGAUGGGGAAUACCCAGUUUCUGUGGUGAGGAGUUUUUCAUUUCCCCACACGAAGUAUUCCAAAUGACCAUGUGUAUGUGUGUAAACACACAGCAGAAAAUAAUUGGUGGACGAG